Molecule: ribosomal RNA, 500 nt
Filed under: uncultured bacterium
Lineage: Bacteria
Description: partial 16S ribosomal RNA
Rfam family: Bacterial small subunit ribosomal RNA
Source: RNAcentral
AUUGAACGCUGGCGGAAUGCUUUACACAUGCAAGUCGAACGGCAGCACGGACUUCGGUCUGGUGGCGAGUGGCGAACGGGUGAGUAAUACAUCGGAACGUGCCCAGUCGUGGGGGAUAACGUAGCGAAAGCUACGCUAAUACCGCAUACGAUCUAAGGAUGAAAGCGGGGGACCGUAAGGCCUCGCGCGAUUGGAGCGGCCGAUGGCAGAUUAGGUAGUUGGUGGGGUAAAGGCCUACCAAGCCGACGAUCUGUAGCUGGUCUGAGAGGACGACCAGCCACACUGGGACUGAGACACGGCCCAGACUCCUACGGGAGGCAGCAGUGGGGAAUUUUGGACAAUGGGCGCAAGCCUGAUCCAGCCAUUCCGCGUGCAGGAUGAAGGCCCUCGGGUUGUAAACUGCUUUUGUACGGAACGAAAAGGCUCUGGUUAAUACCUGGGGCUCAUGACGGUACCGUAAGAAUAAGCACCGGCUAACUACGUGCCAGCCGCCGCGGUAA